AUGGGGCUUUCCUCAGGAAUUGUGCAUUUCAAAAUAAAAUCAGCUAAUAUCUGUGCCUUGAUGGAGGGUCAAGAUUGAAAUUUUACAUCAAAUAUUGUGAGCUCAAUUAUCCAUUUUGCUACUCGAUCCGAUGUAUCCGAUCGAUGUAGGAUGGGCUUCAAAGGCUGAUCAGUCAGGAGAACUAUCGUGUGGGCCUAAAAGUAGAAUCAAAGUUUUUGGGUUGAGACGAUGAGGGCAAAAAUGAGCUUUUCGAGUCUCGUGUAUCUAGUCUUCGUGUUGUGAAGGAUUUUGUUGAUAUAAUAAAUUGGCCUUUGAGCCUUGCCUUCCUCUCAAACGAGUAUCGAGCUUACCACGAUUAGCGAGACCUCUAAGUAGAGAUACAACUCCUUACCUGGCUCGGGCUUGCUAUGGAGUAAGCGUGGAGUUGAGAUAGCUCUUCAAUUUAGCUUUCUUUGGUCCACUCAAAGUCUUUUGGGUGCCUCAGAAUCUUGAAGAAAGAGAGACAGCACUCAGUUGAUCUAGAGAUGAAUCAGUUGAGGG
RNAcentral lists this long non-coding RNA (540 nucleotides) under Elaeis guineensis (African oil palm). Its description in RNAcentral is "long non-coding RNA (EGUI_LNC033438)". Lineage: Eukaryota; Viridiplantae; Streptophyta; Magnoliopsida; Arecales; Arecaceae. The record is from RNAcentral.